GCCUGGGUAGCUCAGUUGUUUAAGUGUCUGACUUUGGCUCAGGUCAUGAUCUCAUGGUUCGUGGGUUCGAGCCCCGCAUUGGGCU
This 85-nucleotide transfer RNA is filed under the name Felis catus (domestic cat). It matches the Rfam family "tRNA". From Rfam's summary of the family: Transfer RNA (tRNA) molecules are approximately 80 nucleotides in length. Their secondary structure includes four short double-helical elements and three loops (D, anti-codon, and T loops). Lineage: Eukaryota; Metazoa; Chordata; Mammalia; Carnivora; Felidae. The record is from Rfam by way of RNAcentral.